UACUGUCAACCUGUACAUAUUAUACUAUUUUGUUUACUAUUUUGUUCCCUCAUUGGCUACUAUUUUGUUCUUAUUUUUUGCAUAGGUGAAAUGUGAAGCCAAACGUGAAGUCGUGAAGCUUAUAUGCAAAGAGUAGCAUAUCAUGUAUUGUGAUAGUAGGCUGUAGUAGGCAUAUUUGAGUUGUAGUAGUGUAAAGAUUGUAAUAGAC
RNAcentral lists this long non-coding RNA (208 nucleotides) under Hordeum vulgare. RNAcentral describes it as "long non-coding RNA (HVUL_LNC018804)". The record is from RNAcentral. Lineage: Eukaryota; Viridiplantae; Streptophyta; Magnoliopsida; Poales; Poaceae.